AGAAUAGUCCAGCCGCACCAGGAAGUGGUCUAUCUCAGGACAACUGACAAGGUACAUUCAAGAGGAUGAAAUGAGCGAAGGUAGCCAAAACCUUGUGUGGCAGUGCUGGGGACCCUAAACUAUGUGCAAGUAUUGAUGACUCCAGCUUAGUGGUUGCUAGUACUUGUGCACCAUCAGGAUACCUGGCCUUUCCACCCUCACUGGGACCUAAGCACAUAAAGAGCAUUCAUGGGAAGAUGUCCUCAACCCCAAAGCCAAAGAAAUCCCAAAUGGAAGGAUCCAGUUAAUAUUGAUCCAGAGAUUCUGAAGAGUGGCCUGUGAGAUUCCUUCUGAAGGUCUAGUUGUAAAGGCUUGGAAUGGGCAAACACCUAGUUACAUUGCACAGAGGAGAAAACUGAAGGCUGGAAAUCUGCCAGAGGUUGGAGAUUCAACGAUGGAUGUGCUGGAUGCGGUUGCCAUGGAGUGAAACGGUUAUGGAGGAAGUAGAAAACAAGCAAAGCCACCAGGAAAGAAGAGCACUUGUCAACUGAGCAGACGGAGCAGAUGGGAGGCUGAGGCAGGAAGAGGGCUUUGAGUCUGAAACCAGCCUGGGCCACACAGCAAGUUCCCAGGCAGUCCAGCCUGCAGGAGUUCUGUGACCUGUUCUGCCCACCUGCCUCCACUGAACACUUUGAGGAUAAAACAUCCUAAUUGGCUGCUCUGACGCCCCCUGGGAUGCAUGGAGUCAGGAUUGUAGAAAUGCUCUCUUUGGGAGACAGGAUGUUCUGUAAUGCUUACAGAUUUUGAAGAGGUGACCUCAGAAAUCACUUUGGUUCAACAUCUGGAACCGUGAAUGAGCAGUAACUACAGAGGACAGAAAAGUGUCUGUGGCCUGCCUUGGAGCUGGGUCACAGAUGGUCUCCCCUUACAUAAACCCUUCAUAAGAGGAUGCUCUGCUUUCUAGUUCGAUCACAGACUAGGAAAUGAAGAAGUUGACAGGUGCAUUCAAGGUGACAACCAGGAAAUAAUCAUCAUGUGCAGAGAUGACAGGGAUCAUAUGGCACACAGAGGGUUAGGGAUUCAACCAACAGCCUCAAGCGUGUUAGCCAAGUGCACUACCACCGCACAGACCCUGAUGACGUUAGCCAACCUCUCUGUAUGUUUAUUCACAUAUGAAGUGGGAAUCAUACAUGAUGCCACAAGGUACAGUUUACACAAUGUAUUUCCUCCACAUACAGGAAAUACAACAGAACCACCAACAAUGUUUCUUUACACACAUAACAUAUUCCCUCUCUCAUGCUCAUAAUAAGCUGUGGACAUGUUGUCCACUUAAUCAGAUUCCCAGGUGAGCAAUUGAUUUUAUUUCUUCUCUCUUUGAGCUACUGAGGAUGAAUGCAAAGUCUUAAGCAUGCUAGGCAAAUACUCUACCACUGAAGUAUAGCCCGGGUUAGCACAGACGAGCUUCUGAGAUUCAGGAAGGCUGUGGAGCUUUCUGAACGCCACAUAGUGAGUGAGUUAAGAGGUAAGUGUGGAUGGCAAUCUACUGGACCAGUUUUUCUAGAAGAAUGUG
Molecule: long non-coding RNA, 1549 nt
Organism: Mus musculus (house mouse)
Lineage: Eukaryota; Metazoa; Chordata; Mammalia; Rodentia; Muridae
Product: predicted gene, 45919
Exons: 8
Source: RefSeq, a predicted model, not a curated record